AUUGAACGCUGGCGGCAGGCCUAACACAUGCAAGUCGAACGGUAACAGGAAACAGCUUGCUGUUUCGCUGACGAGUGGCGGACGGGUGAGUAAUGUCUGGGAAACUGCCUGAUGGAGGGGGAUAACUACUGGAAACGGUAGCUAAUACCGCAUAACGUCGCAAGACCAAAGAGGGGGACCUUCGGGCCUCUUGCCAUCGGAUGUGCCCAGAUGGGAUUAGCUAGUAGGUGGGGUAACGGCUCACCUAGGCGACGAUCCCUAGCUGGUCUGAGAGGAUGACCAGCCACACUGGAACUGAGACACGGUCCAGACUCCUACGGGAGGCAGCAGUGGGGAAUAUUGCACAAUGGGCGCAAGCCUGAUGCAGCCAUGCCGCGUGUAUGAAGAAGGCCUUCGGGUUGUAAAGUACUUUCAGCGGGGAGGAAGGGAGUAAAGUUAAUACCUUUACUCAUUAACGGUACCCGCAGAAGAAGCACCGGCUAACUCCGUG
Molecule: ribosomal RNA, 490 nt
Filed under: uncultured bacterium
Lineage: Bacteria
Description: partial 16S ribosomal RNA
Rfam family: Bacterial small subunit ribosomal RNA
Source: RNAcentral